GUUACUGUUAAUGAAACAGUUCUUCAGUAUUUGUAGGUAACAGUAGCUAAUAUGCAGCGAAUGAAGUAAACAUAACAAGAAAACUCAUAAUUGGGAUGAAACAUGCAUUAAUAGUUAAUUGUAAGUUAAAAAUAGCUUAUAGCAAAACUAAAGCUAACAGUUAGCUCCUUGGUAGUUACAAAAUCCAAGACUGAAAUGACUCUAUGUUGUCCUUGACACCUUUAAUAAUAAUUGAAUGUCCUUCAUAAUGAUAUAAAAUAUGAGCCACAACCAGCCCCUGUGCCAGACAGUGGACACUCCUGUUCAACAGUCACCAGGCAGUGAUCAUCACUGAACUUUAUUCCCUCUGUUUUAUUUUUAUUUUUUUAACCUGGCUGUGUCCCAUGUGCAGCCCAGAAGGGACCUGACAAAGGCCCACGUCUGCAGUACAUUUGGGACAAAGAUUUCUGGCAGAAGAAAACGGGUCGUGGUGGAGGAGUGGGUGCAGAGCGGGACGGACUGAAUAACAGAACGGUUCGAACCAACCCUAACCUGCUGGGCUUGACCUCCACCCCCUGCCCAGUGUCAGUGUCAGUGGAUUUAGUUGUUCCAGAUCUAGGACGCCGUGGUCGACCCGCCCUGCGACCAGGAGAGGAUUAGCAGAGACUGGAACACCGGCCAGGACUCGGCAAGAUCUUUACCUCAAUACAGGCAGACUGGGGCAGAGGGACCGAGGAGCUGCGUCGAAGAGAGAUGGAGACGAGUCAGCGAGGUCCCCUUCAACAUGACGAAGGACGCAGGGAGAGCAGAGCAGGACUGUGAGUGCCACCGUCAUGGAGCCCUGACCCACGGGGCAGAUAAAGGUGUGUGAAUGUGUGAGGGCAACUCCAAGUCUUUCCCUCUGUGUUGGACCGUCCCCAACACAUGCUGUGCAGAAAUGUCACUGAUG
Molecule: long non-coding RNA, 928 nt
Organism: Cynoglossus semilaevis (tongue sole)
Lineage: Eukaryota; Metazoa; Chordata; Actinopteri; Pleuronectiformes; Cynoglossidae
Exons: 3
Source: RefSeq, a predicted model, not a curated record